UUCUUUACCAAUCUGUUUGUAUGGGAUUUUUGGUACUUCACUUGAAAAAUGAGUCCAAGGUACUGUGAUGUGAUUGUUUACUUUGUGUGGCCUUUCUAGCCAUGGUCUUAUAACAUCCACCCUGGUGCUUGGGCAGGACUGUGUGAUAGGGUAAUUGUGGCUCACCAAGGGGAUUGUUUAUUUUGCCUUCAAAGAGAACCAGUUCCAGAGCAAAGAGGAGGAUUCAACUCCCAUCAAGGAAGAACAGCCAAGAGCCGAGCGUAUAUUAUGGACCUGAGAUCCCUGCACUGAGAAGCUCCUAGAAGCAGGAGACUGAGAUAGAGAGAGGAAGCUGUAACCCUGAAGAUGCUUAAAUACAGACCAGAAGAGGAGUUUGGGGCUUGACACCUGACAUCUUAACACCAGUUCCUGUUUCUUGAGGAAGGAAGAGGUAAAAUAAAUCAGCGUUUACUGUUUCCUUCUCCAUCCCCGGAAGUCCUGAUGAAGACCCUCUCAGAGAUGCAGCACACACAGAAUCCCAGCUGGAUUACAGACUUGAACCUGAAGACCUUAUGCAGAAUGACAAUUUAUGAACCACUAAGCUCAGUACUAAAGCAGCUUAAAUACAGACCAGAAGAGGAGUUUGGGGCUUGACACCUGACAUCUUAACACCAGUUCCUGUUUCUUGAGGAAGGAAGAGGUAAAAUAAAUCAGCGUUUACUGUGUCGUUCUCCAUCCCCGGAAGUCCUGAUGAAGACCCUCUCAGCUUCUACUUGAACGUGAAUAUGAGCAACUGAUCAUCUGUUCUGAAGUCAGCCCCUGGCCUGAUUCUGACUCAUGGUAUUGACCUUCUCCAUCAUCACCUUCCACAAAUUUGAUUCCUAUCUAUUCUGCCUGGAAUGGUUCACGAGUAUAGUCACCAUUUAUGUUCCUGACGAAAGCAGGUGAAGGCAUUCGUGGAGAGAGGCAAUUUCCAUGCGUGCAGGCAAAGUGUGUGCUGAGAUGAUGAGUUGCUGGAGACCAGGGUGGACUCUUCAGACCCAGAAUAGGCCUCUGACAGGAGGAGAAGGCAUUCGUGGAGAGAGGCAGAUUCCAUGUGUGCAGGCAAAGUGUGUGCUGACAUGAUGAGACCCUGGAGACCAGGGUGGACGCUUCAGACCCAGGAUAGACCUCUGGCAGGUAUGUGUCAAUGUUUUCUGCCCAUGGCACUCACCCGGGUAUUUGCAUACAAUGUCAUCAGCGGAAUUAGUAGUCUCCGGAGAGGCUGCCACAUGUCAACAAGCUUCACCUGGCCAGAGUCCACCCGUGGUGUAGCUCCGCAAUCAGUCACUACUGUCUAGA
This is a long non-coding RNA of Loxodonta africana (African savanna elephant), 1320 nucleotides long. RefSeq lists it as uncharacterized. The record is from RefSeq and is a predicted model, not a curated record. The transcript is spliced from 7 exons. NCBI's taxonomy places the organism in Eukaryota, Metazoa, Chordata, Mammalia, Proboscidea, Elephantidae.